Xenia sp. Carnegie-2017 is the source of this 225-nucleotide long non-coding RNA. RefSeq lists it as uncharacterized. The transcript is spliced from 2 exons. The record is from RefSeq and is a predicted model, not a curated record. NCBI's taxonomy places the organism in Eukaryota, Metazoa, Cnidaria, Anthozoa, Malacalcyonacea, Xeniidae.
UAAAACUAAAAAAUACUUUGAUCCAUAUGUUUAUAUAAAUUAAAUUAAGAAGAUAUACAUACAGCAGAUGAUUCAGUUUUUCAUUUAAAUGGCAUCUCUUACAGACAAAUAUGUCAAUGUUGUUGUAGGUGGUCCAAAAAGGCAACUUAUUGGAAUCGGCCUAAUUAGCAUUUUUGUAAAUAUGUAUAUUAAAAUACGCACAGCAAAAUAGAUGAAUUAAAAGUU